GUGGGGAAUUUUGGACAAUGGGCGAAAGCCUGAUCCAGCAAUGCCGCGUGCAGGAAGAAGGCCUUCGGGUUGUAAACUGCUUUUGUACGGAACGAAACGGUCCGGGUUAAUACCCUGGGCUAAUGACGGUACCGUAAGAAUAAGCACCGGCUAACUACGUGCCAGCAGCCGCGGUAAUACGUAGGGUGCGAGCGUUAAUCGGAAUUACUGGGCGUAAAGCGUGCGCAGGCGGUGAUGUAAGACAGAUGUGAAAUCCCCGGGCUCAACCUGGGAACUGCAUUUGUGACUGCAUCGCUGGAGUGCGGCAGAGGGGGAUGGAAUUCCGCGUGUAGCAGUGAAAUGCGUAGAUAUGCGGAGGAACACCGAUGGCGAAGGCAAUCCCCUGGGCCUGCACUGACGCUCAUGCACGAAAGCGUGGGGAGCAAACAGGAUUAGAUACCCGUGUAGUCC
Molecule: ribosomal RNA, 450 nt
Filed under: uncultured bacterium
Lineage: Bacteria
Description: partial 16S ribosomal RNA
Rfam family: Bacterial small subunit ribosomal RNA
Source: RNAcentral